GACGAACGCUGGCGGCGUGCUUAACACAUGCAAGUCGAACGGAAAGGCCCUGCUUUUGUGGGGUGCUCGAUUGGCGAACGGGUGAGUAACACGUGAGUAACCUGCCCUUGACUUUGGGAUAACUUCAGGAAACUGGGGCUAAUAUCGGAUAGGAGCUCCUGCUGCAUGGGGGGGGUUGGAAAGUUUCGGCGGUUGGGGAUGGACUCGCGGCUUAUCAGCUUGUUGGUGGGGUAGUGGCUUACCAAGGCUUUGACGGGUAGCCGGCCUGAGAGGGUGACCGGCGACAUUGGGACUGAGAUACGGCCCAGACUCCUACGGGAGGCAGCAGUGGGGAAUAUUGCACAAUGGGCGGAAGCCUGAUGCAGCAACGCCGCGUGCGGGAUGACGGCCUUCGGGUUGUAAACCGCUUUCGCCUGUGACGAAGCGUGAGUGACGGUAAUGGGUAAAGAAGCACCGGCUAACUACGUG
Molecule: ribosomal RNA, 468 nt
Filed under: uncultured bacterium
Lineage: Bacteria
Description: partial 16S ribosomal RNA
Rfam family: Bacterial small subunit ribosomal RNA
Source: RNAcentral